GACGAACGCUGGCGGCGUGCUUAACACAUGCAAGUCGAGCGGUAAGGCCCUUUCGGGGUACGACGAGCGGCGAACGGGUAGGAGUAACAACGUGGGUGGACCUCGCCCUCCAGCUCUGGGAGUAAGCCUCGGGAAACCGGGGUACCGUAAUAACCGGACGUAUGACUCCACUGACGCAUGUUGUGGGGUGGGAAAGACCUU
This 201-nucleotide ribosomal RNA is filed under the name uncultured bacterium. Its description in RNAcentral is "partial 16S ribosomal RNA". The record is from RNAcentral.